RNAcentral lists this ribosomal RNA (468 nucleotides) under uncultured bacterium. RNAcentral's name for it is "partial 16S ribosomal RNA". It matches the Rfam family "Bacterial small subunit ribosomal RNA", at positions 28 to 507 of the family's 1533-position model. The record is from RNAcentral.
GACGAACGCUGGCGGCGUGCUUAACACAUGCAAGUCGAACGGAAAGGCCCUGCUUUUGUGGUGUGCUCGAUUGGCGAACGGGUGAGUAACACUUGCGUAACCUGCCCUUGACUUUGGGAUAACUUCAGGAAACUGGGGCUCAUACCGGUUAGGAGCUCCUGCUGCAUGGUGGGGGUUGGACAGUUUCGGAGGUUGUGGAUGGGCUCGUGGCUUAUCAGCUUGUUGGUGGUGUAGUGGAUUACCAAGGCUUUGACGGGUAGCAGGCCUGAGAGGGUGACCGGGCACAUGAGGACAGAGAUACGGCAGGGAGUACUAAGGGAGGCAGGAGAAGGGAAGAGUGCAUGAUGGGCGGAAGUCGGAUGAAGCAAGGCCGUGUGAGGGAUGAUGGACUUCGGUUUGUAGACAGCUUUAGCAGGUGAGGAAGCGUGAGUGAAGGUAAUGGAUAAAGAAGCACCGGCUAACUACGUG